This is a long non-coding RNA of Brienomyrus brachyistius, 435 nucleotides long. RefSeq lists it as uncharacterized. The transcript has 3 exons. The record is from RefSeq and is a predicted model, not a curated record. NCBI's taxonomy places the organism in Eukaryota, Metazoa, Chordata, Actinopteri, Osteoglossiformes, Mormyridae.
GAUGUUCGCGGCCUGUCCAUGCGUCAGGCUCGCUAAAGGGCCAACAGCUGCAUCCCUCAGCGACGAUUAAAGUCUUUUUGGGCGCAUGGGAAAGAGAAACGCCGCUGUCGCCGUUUGAAGCCCUGGGAUGGGACGGUGCGGCUGCUCCCUGCUAUGUGGUUCAGGGCAUUUUGGAGCCCAACUAUGCCAGGGGACCCCAGACAUGAGAAAUGCACGAUUCUCCGGAUGUGACACAGAUGGGGCACUCGGCCUGAAGUGAUGAGCAGAAGAGACGGUGCCUAAGUGGGAAAGGAAGAGAAGAGGGUGACUGACGGUUCAUCCUGAGCCGUUACUGGUCCCAUUUCAGCCUGUAAUCAUCGGACUUCCCUUUCAGACUCUGUUUGCUUUGAUUCAUGUUGAGUAUCACUGUUUGCCUGUGGGUCAGGGUGAGACCAA